GAUGAAGAACGCAGCGAAAUGCGAUAAGUAAUGCGAAUUGCAGAAUUCCAGUGAGUCAUCGAAUCUUUGAACGCACAUUGCGCCCUUUGGUAUUCCGAAGGGCAUGCCUGUUCGAGCGUCAUUAUCACCCCUCAAGCCCUCGGCUUGGUGUUGGACGGUUUGGUGGAGGCCCCCUCGGGGGCUCCUGCCCCUCCCAAAGACAAUGACGGCGGCCUCGUUGGACCCCCGGUACACUGAGUUCUUCACGGGACACGUAUCGGACACAGGGGUUUACGGGACACGGUCUGCCUCCCCUCAGGGAGAAUCUUUCUAAGGUUGACCUCGGAUCAGGUAGGGAUACCCGCUGAACUUAAGCAUAUCAAUAAGCGGAGGA
RNAcentral lists this unclassified non-coding RNA (373 nucleotides) under soil metagenome. RNAcentral describes it as "partial contains 5.8S ribosomal RNA, internal transcribed spacer 2, and large subunit ribosomal RNA". The stretch from base 1 to 121 matches the Rfam family "5.8S ribosomal RNA", at positions 35 to 154 of the family's 154-position model. The record is from RNAcentral.